UGGGGAAUAUUGCACAAUGGGCGAAGGCCUGAUGCAGCAACGCCGCGUGAGUGAUGAAGGUCUUCGGAUUGUAAAGCUCUGUCUUUUGGGACGAUAAUGACGGUACCAAAGGAGGAAGCCACGGCUAACUACGUGCCAGCAGCCGCGGUAAUACGUAGGUGGCGAGCGUUGUCCGGAUUUACUGGGCGUAAAGGGUGCGUAGGCGGAUGUUUAAGUGAGAUGUGAAAUACCCGGGCUUAACUUGGGUGCUGCAUUUCAAACUGGAUAUCUAGAGUGCAGGAGAGGAGAAUGGAAUUCCUAGUGUAGCGGUGAAAUGCGUAGAGAUUAGGAAGAACACCAGUGGCGAAGGCGAUUCUCUGGACUGUAACUGACGCUGAGGCACGAAAGCGUGGGUAGCAAACAGGAUUAGAUACCCUGGUAGUCCACGCCGUAAACGAUGAGUACUAGGUGUAGGAGGUAUCGACCCCUUCUGUGCCGCAGUAAACACAUUAAGUACUCCGCCUGGGAAGUACGAUCGCAAGAUUAAAACUCUAAAGUGAAUUGAC
This 545-nucleotide ribosomal RNA is filed under the name uncultured bacterium. Its description in RNAcentral is "partial 16S ribosomal RNA". It matches the Rfam family "Bacterial small subunit ribosomal RNA", at positions 355 to 914 of the family's 1533-position model. The record is from RNAcentral.